This 2023-nucleotide long non-coding RNA is filed under the name Panax ginseng (ginseng). RNAcentral describes it as "long non-coding RNA (PGIN_LNC007000)". Lineage: Eukaryota; Viridiplantae; Streptophyta; Magnoliopsida; Apiales; Araliaceae. The record is from RNAcentral.
UCCAUUAUAAUAACCUUUUGGAGUAGUUAAUAUCCCAAUUGUACAUCUAUCGAUAAUCCAUCAAAAUGAACUCCCGAUUCUGCUUCAAAAUGCAGAAAGCGCAAUGUGCAUGGAAAAACACUUUGCACUUGGAAAUACAAUUCCAGGCCAUUGGAAUUGGAGGUCCACAUGUUUCUGUGAUCAAAUUUGACAUUUUCUAAAAUUAGAUUUAGUUUACAAAAGCAAGUUCAACUAGGAGAACAAAUAAUGAGAUAUUGAAAAGGCAUGUACACAUUAUUCCAGGUAAUAAUCACUAACCAAUGCAAGCACUCCCGUUAACCCGUAUCAUCUUAAAACAACUGAUGAAUGAUUUUCCAUCUAAGCAUUUCCCCAUUUCCUUCAAACAACAGUCUACGGUUUGAAUGCAGUUACCAUUUCAGGAAUUGUCUACAGACUGUGAGAAACAACAAAACAAGUCAGUAAAAAUGCACAUACAGAUACGGAGACAGACAUAUGAAUCAUCUAAAACAACGAUUUUUAUCAUCUGUAGCAAAGAUAAAAACUUCAUAGAAGUCCAAAUACGAAGAGAAGAAAGAGAUAUUCCUAGCUGUUUUAUUCUUAGACAAAGUAUCUAAUUGAUAAGUAGUUCGCCUGAAAUCAGACUAAACCAAGGUCGGAGGAGCCUUAGGGUAGUAAUUAAUUGAGAUGCUUACAAUUGCAUUUUCAAAAGCUUCCUGCCGAACCGGCUCCUAUUUCGAGUAAGCGCCAUAAUCAUUUAGCGAGGUUUUGGGCCGAUACAAUGAAAAUUGCUUACUUAUGUCAUUAUGUGAGAUAAGUGUUAGGAAUCAACUUAGGUAAUAAAAUCGAUUAACUAAGGAUAAGCAGCGAUGUAGGAUCAAAUCCCAAAGAUAGCAAGUAUUUCCUUUCUUAAGAAGGAAAGUCUUUUUCAAAAACUAUAUAUAAAUUUAGAUAUGAAUUUGAGAUAGUUACCUUAAGAAAAUUCUAACAAUAGGCAGAAAUGCCUAUGCUUUAUUCUUUUGAUUUUUGAAGGUGGGAGAAAGAUGACGAGAUAAAGAAAAAUGAAUGUAACUGAUCUCAAUGAAUAACAAACCCAACGUUCAAAAACAUUUGUCCGGAUGUCCCCUACUAAAAUGUAGCAGGUUUACAACAAACAAUCAUGUAAACCGUACUAUGGAUUCUCUGGGUUAAUCAAACACCAUAUUAUAUUUAUGCAUGAUUCCAAAUAUGCUCAGAGCAAAGUUUUUACCUUCCAUCCAAAAAAUAUCUUCUUUUUAACCCCCCCCCCCCCCCCCCAGGGGGGGGGGAUUGAAAACAAAUGCUUUUAGCUCACAAAAAAUUCCAUAAAUGUUGUGCAACAUUAAAUUAUUUUAUGUUAACUAGUCUAGGUACUAUGAAAUAGAAAAACACCAACUUCUUUCCAUUUAUUGGGUUUUCAAUCAAUAUAAGACUCCAUACCAGGCCCAACUUUCUCCGAUGAAUAGGUCAAAUGAAACUUCCAUUUAGGUUUUCUUUUUUUAAGGGGGGAUCACCUGCUGCUCAAGUGGCUGCAUGAGAAGUAAUCAAAACAGCAGCAAAAGAAAAUCCAAACAUUCCAUAAUAUUUUCAUUUAAAUCAAAAAAAUCCAAUUUAGAAAAGAUAUAUGCUUAGAUUUGAUGCAAGUAAAGUGUCUCAGCAACUGACCUGAGAAACUGGGAAGAAUCUUUAUUUACUUUAUUGACAUGUCUCAUCCAGCCUAGAUUCAGACCCCAUUCUAUGAAUCCAUUUGGAACUGAAAUCAACAUCAGUGAAGGACAAUUGUUCAAGAGAUAAAACCACACGAACUUGGGCAGCAUCCAAUGACCCUUAGGUAAGCUUUAGCAUCAUAUUGAACAUACUGCACUUUUAUCAAUGCUGCAAUGACUUCAUUUGAACUUAAAAUCACAAAUACACCGCCAGAAGCAACCAACUAUCAAGCCAUUUAGAGCAAUUUGACUCCCAAUUUUAAAUCAAUAAACCAUAUGAAUGGAGAUGUAAGAAAUUAUAU